UUAAUUUAAAGCACGAGACUU
Molecule: non-coding RNA, 21 nt
Organism: Caenorhabditis elegans
Lineage: Eukaryota; Metazoa; Nematoda; Chromadorea; Rhabditida; Rhabditidae
Source: Ensembl